RNAcentral lists this signal recognition particle RNA (436 nucleotides) under Eremothecium cymbalariae DBVPG#7215. RNAcentral's name for it is "Fungal signal recognition particle RNA". It matches the Rfam family "Fungal signal recognition particle RNA". The record is from Rfam by way of RNAcentral. Lineage: Eukaryota; Fungi; Ascomycota; Saccharomycetes; Saccharomycetales; Saccharomycetaceae.
UAACUGUGACGGUUAGCUAAGUGGGAGCGUAGCCAAUGAAUUCUGGCCUGGUCUUCGAACGUGUUCGCGCGUUCGAACCUGCGGCUGGACAAGAUUGCAUUAAAGUGGCCUGUCGUUCUAGGCGGGCUGCGCUUCACGCUACUUAGAGGCCUCAUCAGAGGCCAUCGUGAUCUAUCUGGAUCGACGUGUCCUGUUUAUUAUCGAUUCUUGCGGGCCCGCGGUGUCUGGUGGUGAGAGAAGUCCACCACCGGCCCAGCAGUAAUGGUUGGGCUCUAGGCUCUUUGCUCUCAUCGCUGAAGGGGAGUUUAAUCCAGCACAGCAAGAGCAGCCCGUGGGAAGGCGGGCGGGAUGGCACGUCUCCAGUCCGGUGUUCCAAUGGGUGUUGUCCGUUGGCUCCGUGGGUCACUCGGUAGAUUCGAGCUUCGCAACCGCGGUU